GUUGAUUAAAUUGAUAUUCCUGAUGGAUUUGAGGCAUCUCAUCAUCAACGGCAAAACACCAGUUACAAUGAGCGAUAAAAAACGGAUAAUUAACUGACUAGCAACGUUUAAGCAACUGUUGACCGUAAUACUGACAACAACAUUCCAAUUUUAAACGUAUCAGUACGACUAGAUCCUGAUUGUACUGGAGAAUCACUGUGCCUCCAAGAAAUAUGUAACAUGCUUAUCAAACAAGAUGAAUCCAACAACAUAAUUGUUGAUGACCAAUCAAAAGAAUGUCGUUAUGACAAAAGUAAACCAAACUCCAAUCAUUUAGAUGGUCGCUUCAAACGAGAAAUAAACUCUCAUAAAAUUGAUGAUAAUGAAAAAUGGAUGAAAGUACUUGCAUCUAGAGCUGGAGCAGAGUGGAUCAAUUACUGCAGAAAAUCAAAUACCAAUUGUUUAUGGUCACAUCAUGACCAUAAUGAAGUUAAAAUAAUCAAUGCAACAAGCAUAUCAGGUUUUUUUGUUCCCAAAUAUCAAAUCUAUUUUAAUUUAACUAAAGCCACUUGUGUUGAAACGAAACCAUUGCAACAUAAUUGUUGGUAUGAUGAUAGUUCAACCGUACUAUGCAAUGUUAAUAUAACUGACUCAUGGAAUUUUGUGAGAAAUAUAUAUCUUAAUACUAUUUGUGAUGAUAAGGGACCCGUUUUGUCGAGUUGGUACUAAGUAAACCAAUAUUUUAUUUGUCAAAUAGAAACAUAAGCUGUUCUGUAAACUAUGUAGUUUAGAUUGAGACUUAUUAAUUUGAAGAAUAUAUUGUUAAAGUUAACAUCAAUGAUCCAAUCAUCAAAAAUCUCGUAAAUAUACAAUUACUUUCGCAUCUAU
Molecule: unclassified non-coding RNA, 867 nt
Filed under: Chelonus insularis
Lineage: Eukaryota; Metazoa; Arthropoda; Insecta; Hymenoptera; Braconidae
Description: uncharacterized LOC118067393, transcript variant X1
Source: RNAcentral